CAAAGGUUUGGUCCUGACUUUACUAUCAGCUUUGACUAUACUUACACAUGCAAGUAUCCGCACCCCUAUGAGAAUGCCCUUAACUUCCAGGACUGGAAGAAAGGAGCUGGCAUCAGGCACAUCAAACUAAAGACAGCCCAAAACGCCUUGCUUAGCCAUACCCCCAAGGGAACUCAGCAGUGAUAAACAUUAAGCCAUUAGUGAAAACUUGACUUAGUUAAAGACAACAGGGCCGGUAAAACUCGUGCCAGCCACCGCGGUUAUACGAGAGGCCCGAGUUGAUAGGAAUCGGCACAAAGGGUGGUUAAGAAAACUAAAUGGUAAAGCCGAACCUCUUCCCAGCUGUCAUACGCAAACGAAGAGACGAAGCCCCUAUACGAAGGUAGCUUUAUUAAUAUCUGAACCCACGACAGCUAAGACACAAACUGGGAUUAGAGACCCCACUAUGCAUAGCCGUAAACUUUGAUAGAAAAAUUAAAUCUAUCCGCCUGGGAACUACAAGCGCUAGCUUAAAACCCAAAGGACUUGGCGGUGCUUCAGACCCACCUAGAGGAGCCUGUUCUAGAACCGAUAAUCCCCGUUCAACCUCACCACCCCUUGUUAAUACAGCCUAUAUACCGCCGUCGUCAGCUUACCCCGCAAGGGCCUUAUAGUAAGCACAAUUAGCAUCGCUCAAUACGUCAGGUCGAGGUGUAGCAUAUGAGGUGGGAAGAAAUGGGCUACACUCUCUAAUGCAGAGUACACGAAUGAUGUGAUGAAAGAUACAUCUAAAGGAGGAUUUAGCAGUAAGCAGGGAAUAGAGAGCCCUACUGAAACUGGCUCUGAAGCACGUACACACCGCCCGUCACUCUCCCCAAGUCCAUUAAAUAUUUAAAUAAAAAACUACCAGACCCAAGGGGAGGCAAGUCGUAACAUGGUAAGUGUACUGGAAAGUGCACUUGGAUAAAC
Molecule: non-coding RNA, 948 nt
Filed under: Ijimaia dofleini
Lineage: Eukaryota; Metazoa; Chordata; Actinopteri; Ateleopodiformes; Ateleopodidae
Description: 12S rRNA
Rfam family: Bacterial small subunit ribosomal RNA
Source: RNAcentral